GGGAUUGUGGCUUAGCGGUAGAGCGCUCGCCUAGCAUGCGUGCGGCCCUGGGUUCGAUCCUCAGAACCUCG
This 71-nucleotide transfer RNA is filed under the name Marmota marmota marmota (Alpine marmot). It matches the Rfam family "tRNA". From Rfam's summary of the family: Transfer RNA (tRNA) molecules are approximately 80 nucleotides in length. Their secondary structure includes four short double-helical elements and three loops (D, anti-codon, and T loops). Lineage: Eukaryota; Metazoa; Chordata; Mammalia; Rodentia; Sciuridae. The record is from Rfam by way of RNAcentral. RNAcentral also lists the same sequence under 1 other name.